Molecule: ribosomal RNA, 386 nt
Filed under: Anaspides spinulae
Lineage: Eukaryota; Metazoa; Arthropoda; Malacostraca; Anaspidacea; Anaspididae
Description: partial 16S ribosomal RNA
Rfam family: Bacterial large subunit ribosomal RNA (bases 290-386)
Source: RNAcentral
UUUAAUUGAAGGCUGGAAUGAAUGGUUGAACAAAAAAUAGUCUGUCUCGUUGUUAAAAUUAAAAUUUGACUUUUAAGUAAAAAGGCUUAAAUAAAAUAGAAUGACGAUAAGACCCUAUAAAGCUUUAUAUUUAAAAAAUAACUAAUAAUUAAAAUUUAAAAAUUGUUUAUUUAGAAAAUAUUGUGUUGGGGCGACAAAAAUAAAAAUUGUAACUGUUUAUUUAUUAAAAACUUUUAAUAAAAGAAAAAAUGAUCCUUUAAUAAAGAUUAAAAGAUUAAGUUACUUUAGGGAUAACAGCGUAAUCUUUUUUGAGAGUUCAUAUCGACAAAAAGACUUGCGACCUCGAUGUUGAAUUAAGAAAUCCUUUUGGUGCAGCAGUCAAAAAG